Molecule: ribosomal RNA, 192 nt
Filed under: uncultured bacterium
Lineage: Bacteria
Description: partial 16S ribosomal RNA
Rfam family: Bacterial small subunit ribosomal RNA
Source: RNAcentral
GCAACUCGCCUGCAUGAAGUCGGAAUUGCUAGUAAUCGCGGAUCAGCAUGCCGCGGUGAAUACGUUCCCGGGCCUUGUACACACCGCCCGUCACACCAUGGGAGUCGGUAACACCCGAAGCCGAUAGUCUAACGAAAGAGGACGUCGUCGAAGGUGGGAUUGAUGACUGGGGUGAAGUCGUAACAAGGUACC